This 253-nucleotide ribosomal RNA is filed under the name uncultured microorganism. RNAcentral describes it as "partial 16S ribosomal RNA". It matches the Rfam family "Bacterial small subunit ribosomal RNA", at positions 524 to 776 of the family's 1533-position model. The record is from RNAcentral.
UACGUAGGGUGCGAGCGUUAAUCGGAUUUACUGGGCGUAAAGCGUGCGCAGGCGGCCCGUUAAGACAGGUGUGAAAUCCCUGGGCUUAACCUAGGAAUUGCGCUUGUGACUGGCGGGCUCGAGUACGGUAGAGGGGGGUGGAAUUCCUGGUGUAGCAGUGAAAUGCGUAGAGAUCAGGAGGAACACCGAUGGCGAAGGCAGCCCCCUGGGCCUGUACUGACGCUCAUGCACGAAAGCGUGGGGAGCAAACAGG